UUACCCUGUCGAACCGAGCGAGUG
This 24-nucleotide microRNA is filed under the name Capitella teleta. RNAcentral's name for it is "cte-miR-10b". Its record names the gene cte-miR-10b. The record is from miRBase by way of RNAcentral. Lineage: Eukaryota; Metazoa; Annelida; Polychaeta; Capitellidae.